AUGGGACUGGGCGCCGUGGAGCAGGGGGCCGCGCCCAUAGGGGAGGCUCCGGCCGCACAGGAGCCCACGGAGGCGGGGGAAGGCUCAGGCAUGGCGGGCUGCAGGUCCCGAGCCCUGCCCCGCGGGAAGGCAGCUAAGGCCCGGCGAGAAAUCGAGCGCAGCACGGGUGGGCUGGCACUGCUGGGGGACCCAGUACACCCUCCGCAGCCGCUGGCCUGGGUGCUAAGCCCCUCAUUGCCCGGGCCAGCAGGGCCGGACUGCUGCUCCGAGUGCGGGGCCGCCAAGCCCACGCCCACCCGGAACUCCAGCUGGCCCUCAAGCGCUGUGCGCAGCCCCGGUUCCUGCUCGCGCCUCUUCCUCCGCACCUCCCUGCAAGCUGAGGGAGCAGACUCCGGUCUUGGCCAGCCCAGUAAUGGGCUCCCACAGUGCAGCGGUGGGCUGAAGGGCUCCUCAAGUGCCGCCGAAGUGGGAACCCAGGCAGAGGAGGCGCCGAGAGCGAGCGAGGGCUGUGAGGACUGCCAGCACGCUGUCACCUUUCAAAAGCACCCAGAAGGCAGUCGUAGACACUCCCUUGUCACUAACCACUUGCUGAUCCCUGAAGCCCAUCCACGGACCAAUUAUCUUGAAGGCCCACGUUGUCCAGCAGUGUCUGAGAUUUUAAUUUCCUGACCUGAAUCUGUAAGGAGAAAUAGAAGAUCAGGCGUGUGGUGCACGAGACAGAGAGAAAGCCAGAGAGAACCGUAUGUGCAACAGUGCAAGCGUCUGCCAUCUCAGAGAGUGGUGUGAGGCUUGAACUGCUAAAUAAAAAUGUGCUUUUCAAGGUUGAACCUAAGUCUGGCUGACUCCCAAGUCCAUGUCUUUUCACUACACCAUGCUGAGAAGUGGUUUUGAGGCCAAGUGGAAGGAGGCAGCUGGGGUAGGCUGGAGGACUUUCAGAGAUCACAGGCUUGCUGGCUCCUGUCAGAACAGGAAAAGAGCAUCCAUGCUGACAGCUACAUUUCACAGAAGAAGGAAAUAUGGCCCAGGGAGAGGAAGCCACUUGUUCAAGAUCACACAGCUUGUGAGAGGCAGGCUCCUCAUCCAGUUUUGCAGGGGUGGUGUAAAAAAGCAAAAGAAAAUGUCAUUUUACAUUGAACUGAAUUGAGAAAAUACUCAUGAACUUCUUAGGGAUGGAAAACAUUUUGCAGUUAGUACCUAUUUUUCCUACAUUGUGUGUGUGUGUGUGAGUGCCCACACACAUAUCAUACUUUUCCAAAGGAACUCAUAAAUGCCUCAUCUUAGUUCUGCUUCUCUGGUUUGAUCAAUAAGAAUUUUAAAGCAAUUAAUGCUUAAUUCUCCUAACAACUAGUUUUUAUUUUAUCCAAAGUAAAACUUCAAAAAAAUCUGUUUUAUUAAUAAUAGAAAUCAUAGCAAUAAUAUUAAUCACUGUUACGAUGUGACAGCAGAAACCUGUCAUCUUUUUAUGCCCAAUCCAAAUGGCAACUGGAAUAGAGUUAACAUGAGUACUAGCACCACCCUAAAUUCCCUGGUAGGUGGAAUUUACUCUCCCCUGCAACCUCCACCACAGUUAAGUUGUGUUUACUGGUAGUCUGCAAUGCAAUUUGGGAAACUUCUGUCAGCUACAUACAUUUUAAAUACAAUUCAGGCAGUGCAUAGACAUAGCCAAAGUGGAGCUUGAAGUCAGCUGAAAGAAGUCUGAAGGAGGGGCUCUUGCAUUAGGAAUAGGCCUGUUUUGACCACCACAGAAAUAUACCUCUUCGGUCCUAGAGCUGAAAAGAAUAUUAAAGUUUCAAUUAGACCAUUCUGCAACUUCAGAGAGAACCAUACUCAAGCCAACCCAAGCAAAAUCCAUCCUGAUAUUCUAGAUCAAAGAUCAACAAAUAUUUUCUGUAAAGCACCAGAUAGUAAGUAUUUUAGGCUUUCUGAGCCAUAGGGUCUCUGUCAUAACUACUCAAUUCUAUCCUUGUGGAAGAAAGCAGGCAUAGACAUUAGGCAAAUGAAUGGGCAUGACAGUUUUCCAGUAAAACUUUAUUUACAAAAACAGGUAGUAGGGCUGAAUUUCACUUACAGGCAGUGGUUUGCCAACUCAUGUUCUAAAUCUCUAGAAGAGAAAUUGCC
Pan paniscus (pygmy chimpanzee) is the source of this 2118-nucleotide long non-coding RNA. The record is from Ensembl. NCBI's taxonomy places the organism in Eukaryota, Metazoa, Chordata, Mammalia, Primates, Hominidae.